AGCAGCAGCCGCGGGAAUACGAAGGGGGCUAGCGUUGUUCGGAAUCACUGGGCGUAAAGGGUGCGUAGGCGGAUUCUUAAGUCAGGGGUGAAAUCCCGAGGCUCAACCUCGGAACUGCCUUUGAUACUGGGGAUCUUGAGUCCGGAAGAGGUGAGUGGAACUGCGAGUGUAGAGGUGAAAUUCGUAGAUAUUCGCAAGAACACCAGUGGCGAAGGCGGCUCACUGGUCCGGAACUGACGCUGAGGCACGACAGCGUGGGGAGCAAACAGGAUUAGAUACCCCUGUAGUCCCUGUCUCUUAUAC
This 303-nucleotide ribosomal RNA is filed under the name uncultured bacterium. Its description in RNAcentral is "partial 16S ribosomal RNA". It matches the Rfam family "Bacterial small subunit ribosomal RNA", at positions 507 to 807 of the family's 1533-position model. The record is from RNAcentral.